This 253-nucleotide ribosomal RNA is filed under the name uncultured bacterium. RNAcentral's name for it is "partial 16S ribosomal RNA". It matches the Rfam family "Bacterial small subunit ribosomal RNA", at positions 524 to 776 of the family's 1533-position model. The record is from RNAcentral.
UACGGGGGGGGCAAGCGUUGUUCGGAAUUACUGGGCGUAAAGGGCUCGUAGGCGGCCAACUAAGUCAGACGUGAAAUCCCUCGGCUUAACCGGGGAACUGCGUCUGAUACUGGAUGGCUUGAGUUUGGGAGAGGGAUGCGGAAUUCCAGGUGUAGCGGUGAAAUGCGUAGAUAUCUGGAGGAAUACCGGUGGCGAAGGCGGCAUCCUGGACCGACAUUGACGCUGAACGGCGAAAGCUAGGGGAGCAAACAGG